This 561-nucleotide ribosomal RNA is filed under the name uncultured fungus. RNAcentral's name for it is "eukaryotic LSU rRNA". The stretch from base 148 to 301 matches the Rfam family "5.8S ribosomal RNA". The record is from RNAcentral. Lineage: Eukaryota; Fungi.
GUGCACGCCUCGUCUCUGUCUUCAUCUCUCUCACCCACCCCCUGUGCACCUCCGCGUGGGCUCCCGGGCCCACGUCCUUCAUCACGAAUGAACCCAUCGCAUGUGUCGGAACGUCUCGUUUGCUGUAGAAGCAAAAAAAAAUUGUACAACUUUCAACAACGGAUCUCUUGGCUCUCGCAUCGAUGAAGAACGCAGCGAAAUGCGAUAAGUAAUGUGAAUUGCAGAAUUCAGUGAAUCAUCGAAUCUUUGAACGCACCUUGCGCCUCUUGGUAUUCCGAGGGGCACGCCUGUUUGAGUAUCGUGAAAUCCUCAACCCGAUUCCUUUUCGUCGAGAAAGGGGAACGAGGGCUUGGACUUUGGAGGUCUUGCCGGUCCCCCCCGAUCGGCUCCUCUCGAAUGCAUUAGUGGAGCUCGUAAGCUCUCUCCGCCCCUCGGUGUGAUAGUCAUCUAUGCCGAUGCGUGAGGGAGGGAAGGCGCCGCUUCUAACGAACCAUGCCUCGCCUUGUGCGAGAGCGUGGAUAUGGAACCCUUUGAUCUCAAAUCAGGCGGGACUACCCGCUG